UGAAAUUGCUUUCCAACAUAAGGUUUGGUGAUACGCAGGUAGAAAUUAGACGAGGUUCGGUCACGAAGCGAAUUUUUUUUGUUUUUAAAAAAAUACGAAGUAAUUGAAUUGAACCACAUGUUAAAGAAUAAAGUGAUAAAGACGAAUAAAGUCGUCAGAGUGUUUGUUGCAUUCGUUUAGUGAAGACAUUUUUGUUAAAAUGAAUUAUAGCUUAGAAGAAUACACAGACAUGCAUUUAGUUUUUGGAGAGGCUCGGUGCAGCGGUCGAAGGGCGGCGAGAUUGUACGCAAAUCGCUACCCAAAUCGAAGACACCCGGAUGCAAACGUUUUUGUGCGGUUGGAUUCCCGAUUGAGGACGGAAGGAAGAUUAAUUGCUCAUCGCGGGGAAGGCAGACCACAACGCGGUGUUCGAGACCAUGAACGAAUUCUAGAGGAAGUUGAGGAAAAUCCGACAAUGAGUACGAGGAAAUUAUCAACAGUUUUAGAUAUACCAAAAACAACGAUAAAUAGAGUGCUCCGCAGUAAUAACAUACACCCCUAUCAUUAUUCGGCUGUGCAGGAGUUACAUCCAGGGGAUGCGGAGAUGCGCCUGGAAUUUUGUCACGAGUUGCUAAGACGCCAUUAUGCUGACGGAGAAUUUCUGUCCAAGAUACUCUGGACCGAUGAAAGCAUGUUUACCAGGGCAGGCUGUUUUAAUCGGCAUAAUUUACAUCAUUAUGCCGAUCAAAACCCGCACGUAACCCAGGUAAAAUGCUUUCAGCGGCGCUGGAAGAUCAACAUUUGGGCAGGAAUUAUUGGUAAUAACAUCAUUACCUACGAGUUGAACCCGUCGCUUAAUGGUCAGCAAUACGCAACAUUCCUACAGGAUGUUCUUCCAGAAUUCCUAAACGCAUUGCCAGAUAACGAACGACCCAGUUUCUUCCAGCAAGAUGGUGCACCGCCCCACAACAUCCGGCGGGUAACUGCAUGGCUGAACCAAACCUACCCGGGGCAAUGGUUUGGUCAAUACGGUCCGAUUCGAUGGCCGCCUCGUUCUCCGGAUUUAACUCCGCUGGAUUUCUUCUUUUGGGGAUACCUCAAACAAGAAGUUUACCAGCAGGAGUCGGAGGAUGUAGAGGACGUCAUCGCCAAAUUCCAUGCGGCAACGGUGCUGAUCACACCAACAAUGCUGGAGAAUGUUCGUCAAGACAUCGUGACACGGGCCCAUAAAUGCAUUGCAAAUAAUGGGUUGCAUUUCGAACAACAGUAGACUCCCCUGGAUGUAACUCCUCCACAGCCGAAUAAUGAUAGGGGUGUAUGUUAUUAUUGCAGAGCACUCUAUUUAUCGUUGUUUUUGAAUUCGUUCAUGGUCUCGAACACCGCGUUGUGGUCUGCCUUCCCCGCGAUGAGCAAUUAAUCUUCCUUCCGUCCUCAAUCGGAAAUCCAACUGCACAAAAGCGUUUGCAUUAGGAUAUCUUCGAUUAGGAUAGCGAUUCGCAUACAAUAUUUUAUUUUUUUUAUAUUUAUUUAAAUUCUGGAAUAAAACAUUUAAGUUCUUUGUU
RNAcentral lists this unclassified non-coding RNA (1541 nucleotides) under Onthophagus taurus. RNAcentral describes it as "uncharacterized LOC111417835, transcript variant X1". Lineage: Eukaryota; Metazoa; Arthropoda; Insecta; Coleoptera; Scarabaeidae. The record is from RNAcentral.